CUCCUCUUCUUAAAAAGUCAGAUAGUAAUCAGAUUUUGGUUUUGUUUUUUGCUUAACUGUAUUCCUAUCUUUGCCUAAUUUUCUUAAAUAUAUUUAUACUGAAUAUUAUCACCUUGUAUUUGGGAUUUAAAGCCUUCCACGUUAAUGAGUUGUUCCUAUCAUCUGCCUUUUCAUAUUUUGCUUUUUUCUUUCAGAAAUGUUUUUGUUAUAGAACUCUGCUACUUCAUAGCAUUUGGAUGGUUUGAAAGUAUUAGCUGUGUUUUCUAUAUUACUGUAGUUGUUAGGUAUGUUCUUUUUCUAAAGUACUGGAACUUAUCUGGCAGGAAAUACAGAUUUAGUAGAGAAUAACUGAUACAACUGCCUAUCCAGUUCCUACUUUUUGUGUGUUUCUAAUGUAUAGUCAAUUUGGUUUGGAUUUUUUUUGUAUCUAGCAAACUAAGGUUUACAUACACAUCUUUUCUAUCGUAAAAGGAACCCUUACCAAUAACCAUACAUUUUAAUUGUUACUGUAGGUUCUGACAAUUAUAUACAACAAAUGCAGUUUCCUUAGUGUUUCUGUUUAUUUCGUUAAGAAAAUACUUAAAUGAUGAUGGAUAAUUCAUAUAUUCUAUUAAUGAGUAAGGCAAAAAAUCCUU
Molecule: long non-coding RNA, 635 nt
Filed under: Bos taurus (domestic cattle)
Lineage: Eukaryota; Metazoa; Chordata; Mammalia; Artiodactyla; Bovidae
Description: long non-coding RNA NONBTAT024454
Source: RNAcentral